This 438-nucleotide ribosomal RNA is filed under the name uncultured bacterium. Its description in RNAcentral is "partial 16S ribosomal RNA". It matches the Rfam family "Bacterial small subunit ribosomal RNA", at positions 339 to 795 of the family's 1533-position model. The record is from RNAcentral.
CUACGGGGCGCUGCAGUGGGGAAUAUUGGACAAUGGGGGAACCCUGAUGCAGCAACGCCGCGUGGAGGAUGACGCAUUUCGGUGUGUAAACUCCUUUUAUAUGUCAAGAAAAUGACGGUAGCAUAUGAAUAAGCACCGGCUAACUCCGUGCCAGCAGCCGCGGUAAUACGGAGGGUGCAAGCGUUACUCGGAAUCACUGGGCGUAAAGGACGCGUAGGCGGGUUGGAAAGUCAGGUGUGAAAUCCUACAGCUUAACUGUAGAACUGCACUUGAAACUUCUAAUCUAGAGUAUGGGAGGGGGAGAUGGAAUUCGUGGUGUAGGGGUAAAAUCCGUAGAUAUCACUAGGAAUACCUAAAGCGAAGGCGAUCUCCUGGAACAUUACUGACGCUAAGGCGUGAAAGCGUGGGGAGCAAACAGGAUUAGAUACCCGAGUAGUC